This 292-nucleotide ribosomal RNA is filed under the name uncultured bacterium. RNAcentral's name for it is "partial 16S ribosomal RNA". The record is from RNAcentral.
GGACUACACGGGUAUCUAAUCCUGUUUGCUCCCCACGCUCUCGCGCCUCAGCGUCAGUAUCUGUCCAGGUAGCCGCCUUCGCCACUGGUGUUCCUUCCGAUCUCUACGCAUUUCACCGCUACACCGGAAAUUCCACUACCCUCUACAGUACUCCAGUAACUCAGUAUAAGAUGCAGUUCCCAGGUUAAGCCCGGGGAUUUCACAUCUCACUUAAAUUACCGCCUACGCGCCCUUUACGCCCAGUAACUCCGAUUAACGCUCGCACCCUCUGUAUUACCGCGGCUGCUGGCAC